GUCAAGAGGCAGGAAUAAAUGCAGUUGCUAUCACUAAGGAGAAGGUGCUUGAGGAGCUGGAAGUUCUGAAGAUAGGUAAGUCACUUGGGCCAGAUGGCAGCUGAAGAGAUUGUGGAGGCAUUAAUUAGUCAUUUUUAAGAAUCACUACAUUCUGGAUCACAAAUGUUACCCCACUCUUAAGGAAGGGAGGGAGGUAAAAGACAGGAAAUCAUUGGCCAGUUAGUCUGACCAGUGGUUGGGAAGAUGUUAGACUUGAUUAUUAAGGAUGAGAUCCUCACUGUCCACAACGUACCCUCUCCUCAUUGCUGCCCUCUGGGGGGAGGUACUCAGAAUGUUUUAGGAACAGAUUCUUCCCCUCCACCAUCAAAUUUCUAAAUAAUCCAUAAGCCAGUGAACACCACCUUGCUCUUCUCUUUUGUACUAUUUAUUUUAUUGUAAGUUAUAGUAUAUUUUUACGCCUCGCACUGUACUGGUGCCACAAAGCAAGAUAUUUUAGGGCAUAUGCCAGUGAUAAUGGACUUAAAUCUCCAUAGCAGGCUCAUUCAGACAUUCAGGAGGUAUGGAAUCUAGGGGAACUUGACUGAGUGGACUCAGAAUUCUCCCCGAUGAUCAGCCGCCAGUGGUGUUCCACAGGAAUCUGUUCUGGACCCCUGGUCUUUGUGAUUUUUAUAAAUGACUUGGAUGAGGAUGUGGGAGGUAGGUUAGUAAGCUUGAUGACGCAAAGGUUGGUGGAGCUGAGGAUAGUGUAAAAGGUUGUUGCAAGUUACAGUGGGAUGUUGAUAGGAUGCAGAACCGGGCUGAGAAGUGGCAGAUGGAGUUCAACCCGUAAAGGUGUGAAGUGAUUCAUUUGGAAGGUCAAACUUGAAGGAUUAAACAGCACAAUGUCCCAAAUAAAUAAAGAGAAUCUCAGCUAUUUUCUUGAUUUGGUUUUGUUCUUUAAGAGUUGAAUAAAUAAGCAACUGCCCUGAUUAACCAAUUAACAGAAAUCCUCUGUAUGGUGUUCAGCUCUUGGCAUGUUACCAUAGGAAGGAUGUGGAAGAUUCAGAGAGAGUGCAGAAGAGAAUUACCAGGACAUUGCCCAGAUUGGAAAGCAGUUCUUAUGAGGAUAGGUUGAGCGAGCUAGGGCUUUUCUCUUUGGAAUGAAGUAGAGUGAGAGGUGCUUUGAUAGAGGAGUAUAAGAUGAUAAGAGGCAUAGAUUGACAGGACAUUCAGAGACUUUCUCAUAGGACCAAAAUGGCUAAUACAAAUGGGGGCAUAGUUUUAAGAUGUUGGGAGGACAGUAUGGGGAGAAUGUCAGAGGUAUGUUUUUACUGAGUGAUGGGUGCAUGGAACACACUUCCAGACAUGGUGGUAAGGCAGAUAUGCUCAGAACAUUUAACACAAAUAGACACAUUGAUUAAAGAAAAAUGGAGUGUUAUGUAGGAGAGAAGAGUUUGAUUGAUCUUGGAGUAGGUUAAAGGGUCAGCACAACAGUGUGGGCCAAAGGGCCUUACUGUGCUAUACUGUUCUGUGCUGUAUGAUUCUAAUUCUUUCCAUAGAUACCACCUGACCUGCUGAACAUUUCCAGAAUGCUCUGUUUGAUUUCAGAUCUCCAGCGUCGGCAGUUAUUUCUGUUUUGAUUUUCAUUUUAAAACUGAGCUUCCUGGUGCAACUUUCACCAUUAGUCUCCGCUCAGGGAAAAGUUAUGCUCCGGCUGAAAUGGACAAUUCAACCACCACUUUUGAGAGAGCAACGGUUAAGAAAGCUAAUAAGAUACAAGUGACUGGGGAUAAAUGGCCAACAAGGAAAGCAAGCUGGAUGGCCAACAGGAGACCAAAAAGUUCAACAAUCCAAGCUGGAUUUUUUCCCUCCGAAUUUCUGGGAGUCAGUGCAAAUAUUGAAAGCAAGUAUCGACUGAGAAAUGUUCCCAACAGUACUCCCAGUACGAGAUGGAAGUGGAGAUCAGGAAAUUACAUGAUUUUCCACUCAUUAUUUUAAUGAAUGAAAGACUAGAGUGCACAAUCUCCUCCUUGGAUGACUUACUGUGUACUGAGCAUUGCUGAGGAUCCCUACCACCCAUCCCACAAUCUCUUUGACCCUCUACCAUCAGGAAAGACGUGCGGUACCAUCACAAUUAGGACUGCCAGACUGGGUAACAGCUUCGUCCCUCGGGCUGUGAGACUAAUGAAUACCCUGCCACCGCCGAGGUCUCGUCAGCAGGACAGUGAGCUGUUUACUGUUUACCUGUGCUGUGCAUUACGUGCAUUUUUAAUUAUAUUUGUUUAGCCUAUUUAUGGUAAUAUUUUGUUUUAUGUACUGUGUGUGAUAUAUGUUUUGUGGGUGGAGGAACAUUGUUUAGUUGGGUUGUAUAUAUGUACAGUCAUAUGACAAUAAACUUGGACUUGAACUAUGGAAUAUCGUGGGCAUGCUACGUUGGCACCAGAAUGUACGAUGGGGAUCUGCUGGGGGCAGCACUCGGCUGUGCUGUUUGUUAAUGCAAAUGAGAUAUUUCACUGUGUGUUUCGAUGUUCUGUACAUGUGAUAAAUUAAUCUGAAUCUGUACCUAGGCAAACCAUGUCAUGUACAGAGCUGAGUACUUUGACAGAGAAUGAAGUGUUAAUAUUAUGCAAUGACAUUAUAUUUCCUUCUUAAGAAUAUUGUAUUUCCCUUUAAGACUGUGCACAGCUCUGAGUGUACUCAGCUGCUCGGGUCUGGUAAUAAAGUA
Molecule: long non-coding RNA, 2704 nt
Organism: Hypanus sabinus (Atlantic stingray)
Lineage: Eukaryota; Metazoa; Chordata; Chondrichthyes; Myliobatiformes; Dasyatidae
Exons: 3
Source: RefSeq, a predicted model, not a curated record